This 266-nucleotide unclassified non-coding RNA is filed under the name Hevea brasiliensis (rubber tree). The record is from RNAcentral. Lineage: Eukaryota; Viridiplantae; Streptophyta; Magnoliopsida; Malpighiales; Euphorbiaceae.
AGAGAAAGAGAGAGAUUAUUCUUACACCUUGGCUUAAGGUGUAAUUAUUUUUAACUUAUAGGAGGGGAAUGAAAAAGAAUGACUACACUUCCUUUCCCUUCCAUUUUAGGCUUUGACAUGCACAGUGUUAAUGACUUGGCAGGAAGUACCAGUUCCAUUGAAAAAUUUUAUUGGUCAACAUGUGUAAUUAAGAUGGCUAUUCUUCGUUCUUGUUGGCACUCUCUAUGAGUCACCUAAUGCUUAGUUGAAGAGGUCACCCUAUGCGA